RNAcentral lists this transfer RNA (56 nucleotides) under Mesocricetus auratus (golden hamster). It matches the Rfam family "tRNA", at positions 9 to 63 of the family's 71-position model. From Rfam's summary of the family: Transfer RNA (tRNA) molecules are approximately 80 nucleotides in length. Lineage: Eukaryota; Metazoa; Chordata; Mammalia; Rodentia; Cricetidae. The record is from Rfam by way of RNAcentral.
AGCUCAUUGGUAGAGUGCAUGCUUAGCAAGCAAGAAGCCCUAGGUUCAAAACCUAG